Molecule: ribosomal RNA, 548 nt
Filed under: uncultured Thermoplasmatales archaeon
Lineage: Archaea; Methanobacteriati; Thermoplasmatota; Thermoplasmata; Thermoplasmatales
Description: bacterial SSU rRNA
Rfam family: Archaeal small subunit ribosomal RNA
Source: RNAcentral
UUCUGGUUGAUCCUGCCGGCGGGCACCGCUAUUGGAGUUCGCUUAAGCCAUGCGAGUCGAGAGGGGUAAGCCCUCGGCGCACUGCUCAGUAACACGCGGACAAUCUGCCCUCGAGACGGGGAUAAUCCCGGGAAACUGGGAAUAAUACCCGAUAGGUCUGGGAUGAUGGAAGGCUCCCUGGCCAAAAUCUUCCGGGGCUCGAGGAUGGGUCUGCGGCCUAUCAGGUCGUAGGGGGUUUUACGGACCCCCUAGCCGAAGACGGGUACGGGCUUUGGGAGAAGUCGCCCGGAGAUGGAUUCUGAGACACGAAUCCAGGUCCUACGGGACGCAGCAGGCGCGAAACCUCCACAAUGUGGGCAACCACGAUGGGGGAACUCCAAGUGCUUACACUUUUGUGUAAGCUGUUCUCGAGCCUAAAAAGCUCGAGAAGUAAGGGCCGGGUAAGACGGGUGCCAGCCGCCGCGGGUAAUACCCGCGGCCCGAGUGGUGCUCAUUAUUAUUGAGCCUAAAGCGUCCGUAGCUGGCCGGGCAAAUUUCGGGUAAAUCGG